The sequence is a transfer RNA, 82 nucleotides long. It matches the Rfam family "tRNA". Rfam says of the family: Transfer RNA (tRNA) molecules are approximately 80 nucleotides in length. Their secondary structure includes four short double-helical elements and three loops (D, anti-codon, and T loops).
GACAGCUUGGCCGAGUGGUUAAGGCGAUAGACUAGAAAUCUAUUGGGGUAACCCGCGUGGAGUUCAAAUCUCACAGCUGUCG